Molecule: long non-coding RNA, 1197 nt
Organism: Mauremys mutica (yellowpond turtle)
Lineage: Eukaryota; Metazoa; Chordata; Testudines; Geoemydidae
Exons: 5
Source: RefSeq, a predicted model, not a curated record
GUGAUAGGAAGCGAGUAAUGAGGCGGGGUGUGCGGGAGCCAAUCCAGAGUGGGGAACUCUUCGAAGGCGAGACUUUGUGUUUGUACGGAUCGGUCCCUCUUGGCUGGGCGAGUCUGUCAAACUUGUCAGGGAGCCGGAGGAGGCUGCGCUCCUCAGGGAGCGGUGAGGCGUGUCAGCAGCGCCCGGGAGUCAGGCACCUGCCCUGCGCCAGCUGCAGGGAUCGUGCCCAGCGUAUCCGAGGCCUCCUGCGCCAAGCACCUCUCAGGGGUGUGCUAAGCACGUCGCUCAGUGCUGAGCGAGGCAGAGCUAAUGGCUGCGGUGUGUUGCGAGAUUUCUGGCAGUGAAAUCGCUGGGAUUGAAAUAAACACGUCACUUAUCAUCAUCCUAAAAGGAAUCCAGGGCCUCCAGCAUCAACUGCAGGGGCUGCUCAUACACUGAGUGACCAUGAAGAGUGUACACGAGGCACUUAAUCUUCUGAGAAACUUGUCUGAUGGGCUGAUAUGAUCUGUUCUUGAUCUGAGCUCAAAGGCUGGAAAGUCAAAUAAAUCCAAAGGAGGUCAAUGGGUAAUAGUUUUCUGCAUGAUGGCACAAAAAUGCUACACUGGGGAAGUUAAGUCACAUUUACAGGCUUCUUUGCUGAAAUGGGAGUCUCAUUGCUAUACAAGAGGAACAAGCUGUAGAAAUAUCCUUUAGCAGAAAUGGUGGCUCCAGUCUAUCUGCAACAACAGUUUCUCCACAGACAUCUCUAUUCAGCUGCUAUCAAAAGGAGAUGAUGAGCAACAUGAGUUCUGUUUCUCUCUCCCAAGAGUGCGGGUGGCACUGAAGGAUAACAUCGUUACCCUGUAUGGCAGAGAUUCUGGGGCUUGUUAUAUCAGAUUUCCCUUCCUUCCUUUCCCCUUCCCCUCCUCCCCACAAGCAAUGAGGUCUGAUGCUCCUUUUGAUGCACAAGUUAACUGCCUGCAAAUGGGAGUUGUGCAACACAGCAAGGAGAGAACAGAACCCAGAAUUCAACCAUUUCUCUGCUGUUGUAACCAUGCCUAGUCUACUUACAGAUCCUGAUGGACUGGCUGCAGUCGCUGCCUCUUGUCUUGUGCUGGGACUCCGAGAGGAUGGUGGGCUGUUGCCUGACACUUUUUGGCUACUGGCCUUGCUAGUCUUCAGCUUCUCUCCCAUUGCAGACAGCCAGGUUUUUUUCCC